AUACGUAGGGGGCGAGCGUUGUCCGGAAUGAUUGGGCGUAAAGGGCGCGUAGGCGGCUUUGCAAGUCAGUAGUGGAAGUCCAUUUUUCAAGGAUGGAAGUGCUACAGAAACUGCGGAGCUUGAGUGCAGGAGAGGUUAUCGGAAUUCCCGGUGUAGCGGUGAAAUGCGUAGAGAUCGGGAGGAACACCAGUGGCGAAGGCGGGUAACUGGACUGCAACUGACGCUGAGGCGCGAAAGUGUGGGGAGCAAACAGGAUUAGAUACCCUGGUAGUCCACACCGUAAACGAUGAGCACUAGGUGUCGGGCUCGCAAGAGUUCGGUGCCGCAGUUAACGCAUUAAGUGCUCCGCCUGGGGAGUACGUACGCAAGUAUGAAACUCAAAGGAAUUGACGGGG
Molecule: ribosomal RNA, 395 nt
Filed under: uncultured bacterium
Lineage: Bacteria
Description: partial 16S ribosomal RNA
Rfam family: Bacterial small subunit ribosomal RNA
Source: RNAcentral